This 1452-nucleotide ribosomal RNA is filed under the name Triticum aestivum (bread wheat). Its description in RNAcentral is "partial small subunit ribosomal RNA". The record is from RNAcentral. Lineage: Eukaryota; Viridiplantae; Streptophyta; Magnoliopsida; Poales; Poaceae.
AUGGACGCGAAUGACGGCCACGGCCAUGUCUUUGGCGAGGACGAUGCAGCAGCCAGCGGUGAUGAAGAGAAUGGCACAGGAGACACUCAAGACAUGGGUGAUCAGGGAAACGACGCAGCCGACGGCCACGACACCGGCAUUGAUCUAAAUGUCAUGGCCAAUAAGAAGAGGCGGGCAUUUUACACCGACGACGAUAAGCGUUCGUUCUACACAGCCAUUUUGGAGAUGAAUGGUCGUGGUCCGUUGAAACAUGGGGUGACUAGAGAAUUGUCAGCUCGAAUGAAAGUGCCGGCAAGGGUUCUUCGGCGGGUAUGGAAUAAUGGUAGGCGAGGUGGUGGUGUGAAUGCGGUUAUCAACAGGAAGCCGGGUAGAGUUGGUAGAAAGCGCAUUACGCUAGACUCUGUUGCUCUAGCGGCCAUCCCUCCGAGACACCGCACGACGAUUCGAGAUGUUGCCGGUGCAAUGAACAUGUCGAAGACCACCGUUCACAAGCUGUUGAAGGAGCAUGAGUUACGCAAACACACCAAUGAGCUUAAGCCUUUGCUAACGGAGGAAAACAAGAAAGCUCGUAUCAUGUAUUGCAUUUCAAACCUAGAACCUGCUAGUAUGCCGGAGAACCCUAUCUUCAAGGAUUCAUACAACGUCAUCCACAUUGAUGAAAAAUGGUUUUAUCGCACAAGGAGAAGCCAAGGAAUUUAUUUGGGCAUUAACGAGCCGAACCCCGUGAGGCACGCCAAAAACAAGGGACACAUCGAGAAGAUCAUGUUUCUUGCCGCUGUUGCUAGGCCAAGAUUCGAUAUGCAAGGCAAUUGUACUUUUGAUGGAAAAAUUGGAAUUUGGCCCUAUGUUGAAUGGAAGCCGGCGCAAAGGAGAAGCCCGAACAGGCCUAGGGGAACUAUGGAGCUCAAGCCAUGCACCACGGUCGGCAUGGAUAAGAGUCGGGAAUAUUUGAUCAAUAAGGUGUUGCCGGCAAUCAAGGAGAAGUGGCCGCAAGAGGAUCGAUGGAAGCCAAUCUUCAUCCAACAGGACAACGCAAAGACACAUGUUCGACCUGAUGAUCCGGCAGUUCUUGCAGCAGCUCAUGAAGGUGGUUGGGACAUUAGGGUCGUGAUGCAGCCGCCUAAUUCUCCGGAUACUAAUGGGUUAGACCUUGGCAUCUUCAACUCUCUUCAGUCCGUAUUUGAAAAGAAGAUGCCACAAAAUCUUCAUGAGAUUCUCACGAAAGUGGAUGAGACAUGGGAUGAGCAUGAUGCAAACAAGUCCAACCGUGUGUUCCUUACCCAUCAGGCUGUCAUGCGGGAAAUACUAAGGCACAAGGGCUCCAUAGACUAUGAUCUUCCUCACCUAAAAAAGAGGUCUUUUGAGAGGAGGGGGAUCCGCACGCGUAGGCUACCAUGCGAGCCCGAGGUUGUAGCUAUGGCGCUUGAGUAUGUCAAUUCCGAGCAGAUUUGA